CACCCGUGUGCCUACUGAGGACACGUCAGGGUGCUCCUGGCAGAUCUGAUUGCCUUCUGGUUCUUAGUAGCCGCCCCCUUAGGGAGCACAGCCAAUGGCUCUGUUUUUAAGUGGUAAAAUAACUCUUCUCUGUUAGGUUAUACAUACCGAUAUGAUACUGCUAUGUUUAUAGUUUUCUUUUGCUUUCGAUCUUUAGGGUUUAAAAUUUUUGAUUUAAUUUUGGUUUAUUAAUGUAAAAUAGUCACAUGGUUCCAAGGUCAAACGUGCCAAACAAGGUAUAUUCAAAUGAUUUUUCAUAUGGUAUUUAUCUCAUGACUAAUCC
RNAcentral lists this long non-coding RNA (322 nucleotides) under Bos taurus (domestic cattle). RNAcentral describes it as "long non-coding RNA NONBTAT019120". The record is from RNAcentral. Lineage: Eukaryota; Metazoa; Chordata; Mammalia; Artiodactyla; Bovidae.